AGUUGAGCGAGGGAGAGAGAGAGAGGGUUAGUGAAGAGGUUGAGCGAGGGAGAGAGAGAGAGGUUUAGUGGAGAGGUUGAGCGAGGGAGAAAGGGCUAGUGAAGAGGUUGAGCGAGGGAGAGAGAGAGGGCUAGUGGAGAGGUUGAGCAAGGGAGAGAGAGGGCUAGUGGAGAGGUUGAGCGUGGGAGAGAGAGAGGGCUAGUGGAGAUGUUGAGAGAGGGCUAGUGGAGAGGUUGAGCGAGGGUAAGAGGGGUAGUGGAGAGGUUGAGCGAGGGAAAGAGAGAGGGAGGGAGAGAGCUAGUGGAGAGGUUGAGCGCGGGAGAGAGGGCUAGUGGAGAGGUUGAGCGAGGGAGAGAGGGCUAGUGGAGAGGUUGAGUGAGGGAGAGAGGGCUAUUGGAGAGGUUGAGCGAGGGAGAGAGGGCUAGUGGAGAGGUUGAGCGAGGGAGAGAGGGCUAGUGGAGAGGUUGAGCGUGGGAGAGAGAGAGGGCUAGUGGAGCUGUUGAGAGAGGGCUAGUGGAGAGGUUGAGCGAGGGUAAGAGGG
Long non-coding RNA from Oncorhynchus tshawytscha (Chinook salmon), 541 nucleotides. NCBI's taxonomy places the organism in Eukaryota, Metazoa, Chordata, Actinopteri, Salmoniformes, Salmonidae. The record is from Ensembl.